AACACGACUCUCGGCAAUGGAUAUCUCGGCUCUUGCAUCGAUGAAGAGCGCAGCGAAAUGCGAUACGUGGUGCGAAUUGCAGAAUCCCGUGAAC
This 94-nucleotide ribosomal RNA is filed under the name Cischweinfia dasyandra. Its description in RNAcentral is "5.8S ribosomal RNA". It matches the Rfam family "5.8S ribosomal RNA", at positions 1 to 89 of the family's 154-position model. Rfam says of the family: 5.8S ribosomal RNA (5.8S rRNA) is a component of the large subunit of the eukaryotic ribosome. It is transcribed by RNA polymerase I as part of the 45S precursor that also contains 18S and 28S rRNA. RNAcentral also lists the same sequence under 1 other name. Lineage: Eukaryota; Viridiplantae; Streptophyta; Magnoliopsida; Asparagales; Orchidaceae. The record is from RNAcentral.